This 472-nucleotide ribosomal RNA is filed under the name uncultured bacterium. RNAcentral's name for it is "bacterial SSU rRNA". It matches the Rfam family "Bacterial small subunit ribosomal RNA", at positions 355 to 825 of the family's 1533-position model. The record is from RNAcentral.
UGGGGAAUAUUGGACAAUGGGGGCAACCCUGAUCCAGCCAUGCCGCGUGUGUGAAGAAGGCCUUCGGGUUGUAAAGCACUUUCAGUGAGGAAGAAGGCCUGCGGGUUAAUAGCCGGCAGGAAGGACAUCACUCACAGAAGAAGCACCGGCUAACUCCGUGCCAGCAGCCGCGGUAAUACGGAGGGUGCGAGCGUUAAUCGGAAUUACUGGGCGUAAAGCGCGCGUAGGUGGCUUGAUAAGCCGGUUGUUAAAGCCCCGGGCUCAACCUGGGAACGGCAUCCGGAACUGUCAGGCUAGAGUGCAGGAGAGGAAGGUAGAAUUCCCGGUGUAUCGGUGAAAUGCGUAGAGAUCGGGAGGAAUACCAGUGGCGAAGGCGGCCUUCUGGACUGACACUGACACUGAGGUGCGAAAGCGUGGGUAGCAAACAGGAUUAGAUACCCCCGUAGUCCCUGAGCGGGCUGGCAAGGCGCAU